RNAcentral lists this transfer RNA (68 nucleotides) under Pseudophyllus titan. RNAcentral describes it as "tRNA-Met". Lineage: Eukaryota; Metazoa; Arthropoda; Insecta; Orthoptera; Tettigoniidae. The record is from RNAcentral.
AAAUAGGUAAGCUAAACCCCCAAGCUAGUGGGCUCAUACCCCAUCAAUAGGAAAUAUCCUCCUCUUUA